GACGAACGCUGGCGGCGUGCCUAAUACAUGCAAGUAGAACGCUGAGGACUGGUGCUUGCACCGGUUCAAGGAGUUGCGAACGGGUGAGUAACGCGUAGGUAACCUACCUCAUAGCGGGGGAUAACUACUGGAAACGGUAGCUAAUACCGCAUAACGUCGCAAGACCAAAGAGGGGGACCUUCGGGCCUCUUGCCAUCGGAUGUGCCCAGAUGGGAUUAGCUUGUUGGUGGGUAACGGCUCACCAAGGCGACGAUCCCUAGCUGGUCUGAGAGGAUGACCAGCCACACUGGAACUGAGACACGGUCCAG
This 308-nucleotide ribosomal RNA is filed under the name uncultured bacterium. RNAcentral's name for it is "bacterial SSU rRNA". It matches the Rfam family "Bacterial small subunit ribosomal RNA", at positions 28 to 334 of the family's 1533-position model. The record is from RNAcentral.